GGAAGUAAAAGUCGUAACAAGGUUUCCGUAGGUGAACCUGCGGAAGGAUCAUUAACGAACUCUCGAAGGAGACUCGGUCGCUGCUGGACUUUGUCCCAAAGUCGAACGUGCACCCGGGCCUCCCUUCUCGUUCACUCAUCCAUCCUCAUCUGUGUAUCUCUCGUGGGCCGAGAUCUCUUGGCUCAUGUUUCUCUUACGAAAGCCUCAGAAAUUAUCAUCGAGUGACGGCCGCUCGAGUCUGACUCGACGGCGGCAGCUUGUACAACUUUCAACAACGGAUCUCUUGGCUCUCGCAUCGAUGAAGAACGCAGCGAAAUGCGAUAAGUAAUGUGAAUUGCAGAAUUCAGUGAAUCAUCGAAUCUUUGAACGCACCUUGCGCCCCUCGGUAUUCCGAGGAGCAUGCCUGUUUGAGUGUCAUCAGAACAUCAACCCCCCGAGGGCUGUCGAAGCCUUCGGAGGUGUUUGGAACUUGCGGCGUGCGGCGAAGCUUCUCUCGCGGGCUUCUCCGCUCCUCGCGGAAUACAUCAGCGGACGUCUUACCUGCAGUCCUGCCUUGGCGUGAUAGCUGUCUACGUCCUGGCUUUGUGGCUUGUGCAUCCCUCGACUCUGCUUCAAAACUCGGGCCCCGUUCCUUCCCUGCGACGGGCGGGCCCGCCUGACGAUCUGACCUCAAAUCAGGUAGGAUUACCCGCUGAACUUAAGCAUAUCAAUAAGCGGAGGAAAAGAAACUAACAAGGAUUCCCCUAGUAACUGCGAGUGAAGCGGGAAAAGCUCAAAUUUAGAAUCUGGCGGUC
RNAcentral lists this ribosomal RNA (794 nucleotides) under Dictyonema spongiosum. Its description in RNAcentral is "eukaryotic LSU rRNA". The stretch from base 264 to 417 matches the Rfam family "5.8S ribosomal RNA". Lineage: Eukaryota; Fungi; Basidiomycota; Agaricomycetes; Agaricales; Hygrophoraceae. The record is from RNAcentral.